UCCUGGCUACAGGACGAACGCUGGCGGCGUGCUUAACACAUGCAAGUCGUACGAGACGAUUGAAAGCUUGCUUUUGAGAGUCGAGUGGCAAACGGGUGAGUAACGCGUAGACAACCUGCCGUAAAGAUGGGGACAACAGUUCGAAAGGACUGCUAAUACCGAAUGUUGUAGAGUUUCCGCAUGGGGAUCCUACUAAAGGUGGCCUCUACUUGUAAGCUAUCGCUUUACGAUGGGUCUGCGUCUGAUUAGCUAGUUGGUGGGGUAACGGCCUACCAAGGCGACGAUCAGUAGCCGGUCUGAGAGGAUGAACGGCCACAUUGGGACUGAGACACGGCCCAGACUCCUACGGGAGGCAGCAGUGGGGAAUCUUCCGCAAUGGACGAAAGUCUGACGGAGCAACGCCGCGUGAACGAUGACGGCCUUCGGGUUGUAAAGUUCUGUUAUACGGGACGAAUGGCGUAGCGGUCAAUACCCGUUACGAGUGACGGUACCGUAAGAGAAAGCCACGGCUAACUACGUG
This 520-nucleotide ribosomal RNA is filed under the name uncultured bacterium. Its description in RNAcentral is "bacterial SSU rRNA". It matches the Rfam family "Bacterial small subunit ribosomal RNA", at positions 17 to 507 of the family's 1533-position model. The record is from RNAcentral.